AUGGGCGCCCCUAGAUAUUUUGGCAAUUGAUACGUGCUUUGCUAUGGUUCACCAAGAUUAUUUGAUGGUAUUGUGUGUCUCCACCGCUGUGAGAUGAUUCGGUGGUUCCUGAAAUAUUAGUUAUGGUUGGAACGUGUUCUUGCCAUGGAUAUUUUCUCAUUACCAAUUAAUUUGAAAAUUUCCCACGUUCAUGUCUUUCCGUCACUGAGCUUUGUGCUCAUGCCGGAAGUUCUCAGAGAGUUUGUAGAGGACUUUGAAAAUAUUUGGCGGACCUCAGGAUUUGCAUGACUUUUGAAGGACAGUUGACAUAUGCAACACAUGUUGAUAUAAGUAUUUUGUUGUAGGCUUGCGUGUUCCAUGGGGCAAGGCUUCUUGGUUCACUACUGGUCAUGUCUCCGGAAUUUGUGACAAUUAAUUUUAGUAAAAUUGAACUAGUGGCUGGCCUCGGAAGCAAUUUGGACAGAUCCGGUAAAUUGUAAAGAAGCCAUUUUUAUCCCUUUAAAACUCAUUUUUGGCCUUAGCUGAAAUUUGGGGAGGGGUUUGGACCAGAAUAAGGGGUCUUUAUAGGAAGAAAAGUAUCUUUCAUAUAAAGUUAAAAGUCGUUCAAGUGCAGCGCUUAUAAAAAAAUCUGAAACAUAUGCAUCAUGCAUCCAUCUUCCAAAAAAAAAGAAA
This is a long non-coding RNA of Rhododendron vialii, 672 nucleotides long. RefSeq lists it as uncharacterized. NCBI's taxonomy places the organism in Eukaryota, Viridiplantae, Streptophyta, Magnoliopsida, Ericales, Ericaceae. The record is from RefSeq and is a predicted model, not a curated record. The transcript has 2 exons.